RNAcentral lists this long non-coding RNA (638 nucleotides) under Phoenix dactylifera (date palm). RNAcentral describes it as "long non-coding RNA (PDAC_LNC019996)". The record is from RNAcentral. Lineage: Eukaryota; Viridiplantae; Streptophyta; Magnoliopsida; Arecales; Arecaceae.
UACUGUUGCAACAUUAGUUCCAAUGAAAGGUUCAGUUUGCUUCUAGAAAAGAUCAUGGGCCACAGACGAAUUUCUAAAGUUUGCCCAUGAAUUGCACUUCUCCCCGGGGUGGAAGUAACUUUCACUACUUUCUUCUUUUUCUUGUGACCUAAUGUUCUUGCAUGAUCACAUGGGCGCUGGGACACCCGGGCUUGGUCCCUUUUGGACCCAAGCAGUGUUGGUAGGCCACUCUCACAUAACCCUGAUUUAGGCUGCUUUCCCUAAGAAUAUAAAAGAUGAAGCUUCGGUAACCCUGACGCGCCGAUGUCAUUUGAUUGAGAAUUUGGAAGUCCUAAAUUUCGAUCUUAUGUUUUUCUCAUCAAAAUGUAACUUAGAGGAAAUUAACUUGGCUCAAGCGUGCAUUCGGUCCGGUUAACAUAUAUUCAAAUAUUUUAUGGAUUUAUUUUGCUAGCAAAUCAAGAUAUCAACAGUUAAUUAGUAUUACCGUUUUUGAGACCUUCCCUCUAAUAAAUUGUUAGACUAUGUUUAGGAUAUUGGUAAUGCCACUGCAGGUUGAGCACUUGCAAUCUGGACGAUGGUUCACCUCUCCUGCAGUUCACGAUUUCGAUAAAUUCUAAUAGACAUGAAAAUGCUAGGCC